Molecule: ribosomal RNA, 798 nt
Filed under: uncultured Glomeromycotina
Lineage: Eukaryota; Fungi; Glomeromycota
Description: SSU rRNA
Rfam family: Eukaryotic small subunit ribosomal RNA
Source: RNAcentral
GAUUAUCAACUUUCGAUGGUAGGAUAGAGGCCUACCAUGGUGGUAACGGGUAACGGGGUGUUAGGGCACGACACCGGAGAGGGAGCUGAGAAACGGCUACCACAUCCAAGGAUGGCAGCAGGCGCGCAAAUUACCCAAUCCCGACACGGGGAGGUAGUGACAAUAAAUAACAAUACGGGGUUCUUUCGGAUUUCGUAAUUGGAAUGAGUACAAUUUAAAUCUCUUAACGAGGAACAAUUGGAGGGCAAGUCUGGUGCCAGCAGCCGCGGUAAUUCCAGCUCCAAUAGCGUAUAUUAAAGUUGCUGCAGUUAAAAAGCUCGUAGUUGAAUUUCGGGAUCAAUAUGUUGGUCGUGCCUCGGUACGUACUAGCUUAUUGGUUUCUCCCUUCUGACGAACCAUGAUGUCAUUUAUUUGGUGUUAUGAGGAAUCAGGACUGUUACUUUGAAAAAAUUAGAGUGUUUAAAGCAGGCUCACGCUUGAAUACAUUAGCAUGGAAUAAUGAAAUAGGACGUUUGAUUCUAUUUUGUUGGUUUCUAGGAUCGACGUAAUGAUUAAUAGGGAUAGUUGGGGGCAUUAGUAUUCAAUUGUCAGAGGUGAAAUUCUUGGAUUUAUUGAAGACUAACUACUGCGAAAGCAUUUGCCAAGGAUGUUUUCAUUAAUCAAGAACGAAAGUUAGGGGAUCGAAGACGAUCAGAUACCGUCGUAGUCUUAACCAUAAACUAUGCCGACUAGGGAUCGGAUGAUGUUAAUUUUUAAUGACUCAUUCGGCGCCUUACGGGAAACCAAAGUGUUUGGGUU